RNAcentral lists this ribosomal RNA (428 nucleotides) under Companilactobacillus formosensis. RNAcentral's name for it is "bacterial SSU rRNA". It matches the Rfam family "Bacterial small subunit ribosomal RNA", at positions 142 to 557 of the family's 1533-position model. The record is from RNAcentral. Lineage: Bacteria; Bacillati; Bacillota; Bacilli; Lactobacillales; Lactobacillaceae.
GAUAACAUUUGGAAACAAGUGCUAAUACCGCAUAACAACUGCUUUCACAUGAUCGCAGCUUGAAAGAUGGCUCUGCUAUCGCUUUUGGAUGGACCCGCGGCGUAUUAGCUAGUUGGUGAGGUAAUAGCUCACCAAGGCAAUGAUACGUAGCCGACCUGAGAGGGUAAUCGGCCACAUUGGGACUGAGACACGGCCCAAACUCCUACGGGAGGCAGCAGUAGGGAAUCUUCCACAAUGGGCGAAAGCCUGAUGGAGCAAUGCCGCGUGAGUGAAGAAGGUUUUCGGAUCGUAAAACUCUGUUGUUGAAGAAGAACAUGCGUGAGAGUAACUGUUCACGUACUGACGGUAUUCAACCAGAAAGCCACGGCUAACUACGUGCCAGCAGCCGCGGUAAUACGUAGGUGGCAAGCGUUGUCCGGAUUUAUUGG